This 262-nucleotide ribosomal RNA is filed under the name Musca domestica (house fly). Its description in RNAcentral is "partial 28S ribosomal RNA". It matches the Rfam family "Eukaryotic large subunit ribosomal RNA", at positions 1017 to 1276 of the family's 3401-position model. The record is from RNAcentral. Lineage: Eukaryota; Metazoa; Arthropoda; Insecta; Diptera; Muscidae.
AUGAUUAGAGGCCUUAGGGUCGAAACGACCUUAACCUAUUCUCAAACUUUAAAUGGGUAAGAACCACACCUUUCUUGGUAUGAAGGUGUGGUUGUGAUAUAAUGUGCCCAGUGGGCCACUUUGGGUAAGCAGAACUGGCGCUGUGGGAUGAACCAAACGUAAUGUUACGGUGCCCAAAUUGACAACUCAUGCAGAUACCAUGAAAGGCGUUGGUUGCUUAAAACAGCAGGACGGUGGACAUGGAAGUCGUAAUCCGCUAAGG